RNAcentral lists this ribosomal RNA (460 nucleotides) under uncultured bacterium. Its description in RNAcentral is "partial 16S ribosomal RNA". It matches the Rfam family "Bacterial small subunit ribosomal RNA", at positions 338 to 795 of the family's 1533-position model. The record is from RNAcentral.
CCUACGGGAGGCAGCAGUGAGGAAUAUUGGUCAAUGGACGAGAGUCUGAACCAGCCAAUUCGCGUGAGGGAUGAAUGCCCUAUGGGUUGUAAACUUCUUUUAUAAAGGAAUAAAACGCGGCACGUGUGCCUUUUUUCAUGUACUUUAUGCAUAAGGAUCGGCUAACUCCGUGCCAGCAGCCGCGGUCAUACGGAGGAUCCGAGCGUUAUCCGGAUUUAUUGGGUUUAAAGGGAGCGUAGAUGGGGUGUUACGUCAGGUGUGAAAGUUUGUGGCGCAACCGUAAAAUUGCAAUUGAUACUGGGAGGCUGGAGUACAGUUGAGGUAGGCGGAAUUCGUGGUGUAGCGGUGAAAUGCGUAGAUAUCACGAAGAACCCCGAUUGCGAAGGCAGCUUACUAAGCGGUGACUGACAUUGAUGCGCGAAAGCGUGGGGAUCAAACAGGAUUAGAGACCCUAGUAGUC